GCAACUGGUGCUACGAAGACUUAAAAUGUCAUUCCUAAGAAAACGGGAUUUUCUGAUUUUCUAUAUAAGAACUUCUGAUGCUGCUGCUUGAAGACACUCAAAUAAAUCACCAGCUAUCAACAGCUACCCUCAUGUAGUUCCAGCCCUGUGAAACAUAAAGGCAGAUCUUAUGCACUGGCUCCCUCAGUCAUCGUUUGUUUUCCAUUGCAUCUCUUUAACACACAACUAAAGUGCAUGAUGGGCGUUGGCAUGGGAACAUGCCCCUGGCUGCUACCUGAAUGAGGACGCAGAGCCUCUGCAAACGGCACUGUCAAAGGAAUGACCCAGCAGGCUGCACAGUUUUACCUACAGCCGUAUCCAUGACAACAAAGUCCCAUGCCCACUACAUGGCUCUACUAUUGAAUAUUUGAUUGACAGAUGUCCAAAUGUCAACCACUCCCUCUCAG
This is a long non-coding RNA of Cyprinus carpio carpio, 446 nucleotides long. Lineage: Eukaryota; Metazoa; Chordata; Actinopteri; Cypriniformes; Cyprinidae. The record is from Ensembl.